This 256-nucleotide long non-coding RNA is filed under the name Medicago truncatula (barrel medic). RNAcentral describes it as "long non-coding RNA (MTRU_LNC004748)". Lineage: Eukaryota; Viridiplantae; Streptophyta; Magnoliopsida; Fabales; Fabaceae. The record is from RNAcentral.
GGAGGAAUUAGUGGUGGAGGUUAGGAACUUGCUGUCUAACAUUACUUUGCAGGAUUUUGAGGCAGAUGUGUGGAUUUGGCGACCAGAUAUUACUGAUGGUUACACUGUUCGCGGCGUGUAUCAAAUGUUGAGGCAUUCGUGAUGUCGUUUCAGAUGCUUCCUGGCACAAAAAUGUUCCUUUGAAAGUCUCUAUUUCUGCGUGGCGUCUAUUUCGCGAUAGAUGGCUGUCGCGUCAUUUUUCGGAGAUCAAGGCUAU